GUUUCUGUGGUGCAAUGGUUAUCACAUUUGCCUAACACGCAAAAUGUUCCUGGUUCAGUACCAGGCAGAAGCA
Molecule: non-coding RNA, 73 nt
Organism: Pseudonaja textilis
Lineage: Eukaryota; Metazoa; Chordata; Lepidosauria; Squamata; Elapidae
Source: the annotation of a RefSeq genome assembly